UAUCCAACGAAGAAUCACCGGAAACCACCACCAAUCGCCGCCGUGAAGCCCAUCGCCGUCGUCUAAAACGUCGUCGUCGCACCUUCAGUUCUAGAUAUCACCAUCUUCAUCAUUCUGUCACCAUAAGAGAACACGUAUGUAAGGAUGAAUGAGGACAUAUCACUUAUCAUGUAUCAUGGAGGGAGGUUUGUAAGAAAUGGAAGAGGUAACCGGGAAUAUACAGGGAAAGGAAGACGUGUGUGGGAUGUAGACACAUACCUCGUUUGCAUACCUGAUCUUAAAAAAAUGGUUGUGGAGUGUGGUAAUUAUGGGAAUGUUGAGGGUAUGCAGUGGAUGAGGAAAGAAUUUGGCGAAGAUUAUGAUUUGGGGUUAAGACCAUUGUCCGUUGAUAGUGACGUUAAUGCUAGUUUUGAAUAUGUGUAGAAUAAUGCUUCUGCUAUAGUUAAUGCUUCUGCUAUAGUUUAUGACCGAGUGAUAUAUGCUUCUGCUAUGGUUAAAUGUGGCCUAAAAUAUAACUUCAUGUGUUGUAGUAGCAUGACUAUUAUUCUGUAACAAACUAGCACCAUAUUUUCUCAUUCA
Long non-coding RNA from Medicago truncatula (barrel medic), 579 nucleotides. RefSeq lists it as uncharacterized. The transcript is spliced from 2 exons. NCBI's taxonomy places the organism in Eukaryota, Viridiplantae, Streptophyta, Magnoliopsida, Fabales, Fabaceae. The record is from RefSeq and is a predicted model, not a curated record.